AUGACCCACCAAAGGCAGAUCCACACGCACCUCCCGGGCAGCCAGCUCAGAGCGGGGUGGAAGGCGAUGUUUGCUGAGUCACAGCAGGGCCCGAGGCGGGGGCUCAAGUCCUCAUGUCCCUGCUCCCACCCCAGACCAGGUGCAGCUCCCGGCUCCCAGCUGUUGUGGGUAUUUGGGAGUGAACCAGUGAACAUAGCUAUCCUUUCACUCUUUCCAAUAAAUAAAAAGCUAAAAAAACGAAACCAACCCCCUGCGAUCACACACACACAGGACACUCCAUGUGGCACCUGCUGGGGUCGCUCUCAGGAAAUCGGCCAUCCCUCCCUCCCCAGGAAACCAGGGGUGCAGCCCUGCACCUGCUCCCGACUCUUCCCAGGGUGGCGUCUGCAGUCCCCACUCAUGGGCUCACCCACCACCACAUCUGCCUCUGCCCCUUCUCACCAGGACGGGGUUGUGACACAGCGGGCUCACCAGGACCCGGGCAUCCUGGCCCUCAUCUGGGAGCAUGGGCCACACUCCCCUCCUCCCCUUCCAGGGCAUGGGCACCCCUCCCUUCCCAGCCCUCCAGGCCGGGCCCCACUACCCUCAGUGCCCGAUAGGGCCAGACCCUGUGCCACUACUUGUCCUACUGGGCCUAGCCCUGCUCCCCUUUUUGCCCUCCAGGGCCGGGCCCUGCUCUUCUCAAAGCCCUCCAGAGCUGGACGCCAAUCUUCUCCUCACCCUUCAGGGCCUGGGCCCCACUCCCUCCUCGCCCUCCAGGGCCUGGGCCCCCACCAAUUGCACCUCGCCAAGGCCGGGCCCCUUCCCAAUGCAUCCCAACAGGGAAGGGCCACAAUAUCCUCAACACCCUAUAGGGCCAGACCCUGCUCCCCUCCUAGACCUCCAGGGCCAGGGCUCCACUCCAAUUCUCACCCUCCAGGGCCUGGGUCGCACACCCCUCCUCACCCUCCAUGGCCUGCGCCCCAUUCCCCUCACCCUCCAGGACAUGGGCCCCACUCCAAUUCUCUCCCUCCAGGGCUCAGCCCUGCUCCCAACCUUGCAAUCCAAGGUCAGACCCCACUCUCCUCCUCACACUUCAGGACCUGGAACCUGCCCCCCACACUGCUCUCCAGGGCUGGGCCCCACUCCUCUCAAGGCACCCCAGGACCAGACACUGCCCCCCUCCUCGCCCUCCAGGGCCUGGGCACGCUCUGCUAG
RNAcentral lists this long non-coding RNA (1197 nucleotides) under Oryctolagus cuniculus (rabbit). RNAcentral describes it as "lncRNA (ENSOCUG00000033649.1)". The record is from RNAcentral. Lineage: Eukaryota; Metazoa; Chordata; Mammalia; Lagomorpha; Leporidae.